AUCUCAAUUCGGUUGCUUUAAUUCCGGCUAUUGAGCGAUCCUAUAUAUAUAGGAUCGCUCUCAACCAAACUUUUACUUUUCAUUUUGACUUUUCUGGUGCUGGAAUUGUGCUAGAAGAUCGCCCUAGUGUCUGAGGACUGUUCUUUCAUCUUUUUCAAGUGUAGCUGUCUUUUCUUGAGUUCUUCCUCUAGUCUUUAUUUCCUUGAUGGCUAGGACUUUUUCUUCCCAGGAUGGUCAGCU
Molecule: long non-coding RNA, 240 nt
Filed under: Elaeis guineensis (African oil palm)
Lineage: Eukaryota; Viridiplantae; Streptophyta; Magnoliopsida; Arecales; Arecaceae
Description: long non-coding RNA (EGUI_LNC010138)
Source: RNAcentral